UACGGAGGGGGCUAGCGUUGUUCGGAAUUACUGGGCGUAAAGGGCGCGUAGGCGGCACUGCAAGUUGGGCGUGAAAGACCCGGGCUCAACCUGAGAGGUGCGUUCAAAACUGCAGUGCUUGAGACCGGAAGAGGUGGGUGGAAUUCCCAGUGUAGAGGUGAAAUUCGUAGAUAUUGGGAAGAACACCAGUGGCGAAGGCGGCUCACUGGUCCGGUUCUGACGCUGAGGCGCGAAAGCGUGGGGAGCAAACAGG
This 253-nucleotide unclassified non-coding RNA is filed under the name uncultured Alphaproteobacteria bacterium. Its description in RNAcentral is "contains 16S-23S intergenic spacer region". It matches the Rfam family "Bacterial small subunit ribosomal RNA", at positions 524 to 776 of the family's 1533-position model. The record is from RNAcentral. Lineage: Bacteria; Pseudomonadati; Pseudomonadota; Alphaproteobacteria.